GAUGAACGCUAGCGGCAGGCUUAAUACAUGCAAGUCGAGGGGCAGCAGGGUAGCAAUAUCGCUGGCGACCGGCGCACGGGUGCGUAACACGUAUACAAUCUGCCUUUAACAGGGGGAUAGCCCGGAGAAAUCCGGAUUAAUACCCCCAUAAUAGUAGAACUGGCAUCAGUUUUAUUUGAAAGCUCCGGCGGUUAAAGAUGAGUAUGCGUCUGAUUAGCUAGUUGGUGAGGUAACGGCUCACCAAGGCGACGAUCAGUAGGGGAUCUGAGAGGAUUAACCCCCCACACGGGUACUGAGACACGGACCCGACUCCUACGGGAGGCAGCAGUAAGGAAUAUUGGACAAUGGUCGGAAGACUGAUCCAGCCAUGCCGCGUGAAGGAUGAAGGCGCUCAGCGUUGUAAACUUCUUUUGUACGGGAACAAAAUGCGACCUGCGGGUUGUACUGAGGGUACCGUAAGAAUAAGCACCGGCUAACUCCGUG
RNAcentral lists this ribosomal RNA (483 nucleotides) under uncultured bacterium. Its description in RNAcentral is "bacterial SSU rRNA". It matches the Rfam family "Bacterial small subunit ribosomal RNA", at positions 28 to 507 of the family's 1533-position model. The record is from RNAcentral.